Ictidomys tridecemlineatus (thirteen-lined ground squirrel) is the source of this 69-nucleotide non-coding RNA. NCBI's taxonomy places the organism in Eukaryota, Metazoa, Chordata, Mammalia, Rodentia, Sciuridae. The record is from Rfam.
GGGGUUGUGGCUCAGUGGUAGAGCACUUGCCUAGCAUGUGUGAGGCACUGGGUUCAAUUCUCAGCACCA